This 748-nucleotide ribosomal RNA is filed under the name uncultured Bacteroidota bacterium. RNAcentral describes it as "bacterial SSU rRNA". It matches the Rfam family "Bacterial small subunit ribosomal RNA", at positions 1 to 743 of the family's 1533-position model. Lineage: Bacteria; Pseudomonadati; Bacteroidota. The record is from RNAcentral.
CGCGGGAUUAGAGUUUGAUCCUGGCUCAGGAUGAACGCUAGCGGGAGGCCUAACACAUGCAAGCCGAGCGGUAUGAGUAGCUUGCUACUCAGAGAGCCGGCGUACGAGUGUGCGUAACACGUGUGCAACCUACCUUUAUCAAGGGAAUAGCCUUUCGAAAGGAAGAUUAAUACUCCAUAAUAUAUUAGAUGGCAUCAUUUAAUAUUGAAAACUCCGGUGGAUAGAGAUGGGCACGCGCAAGAUUAGAUAGUUGGUGAGGUAACGGCUCACCAAGUCAAUGAUCUUUAGGGGUCCUGAGAGGGAGAUCCCCCACACUGGUACUGAGACACGGACCAUACUCCUACUGGAGGCAGCAGUGAGGAAUAUUGGACAAUGGGUGAGAGCCUGAUCCAGCCAUCCCGCGUGAAGGAUGACGGUCCUAUGGAUUGUAAACUUCUUUUGUAUAGGAAUAAACCUAAAUACGUGUAUCUAGCUGAAGGUACUAUACUAAUAAGCACCGGCUAACUCCGUGCCAGCAGCCGCGGUAAUACUGAGGGUGCAAGCGGUAUCCCGAUUUAUUGGGUUUAAAGGGUCCGUAUGCGGACCGAUAAGUCAGUGGUGAAAUCUCAUAGCUUAACUAUGAAACUGCCAUUGAUACUGUCGGUCUUGAGUAAAUUAGAGGUAGCUGGAAUCAAGUAGUGUAGCGGCGAAAUGCAUAGAUAUUACUUAGAACACCAAUUGCGAAGGCAGGGUACCAUGAUUUAACUGA